Molecule: ribosomal RNA, 253 nt
Filed under: uncultured bacterium
Lineage: Bacteria
Description: partial 16S ribosomal RNA
Rfam family: Bacterial small subunit ribosomal RNA
Source: RNAcentral
UACGAAGGGGGCUAGCGUUGUUCGGAUUUACUGGGCGUAAAGCGCGUGUAGGCGGCUAAGUAAGUCGGGCGUGAAAUCCCACGGCUCAACCGUGGAAGUGCACUCGAAACUGCAUAGCUAGAGUCCUGGAGAGGAAGGUGGAAUGCUUGGUGUAGAGGUGAAAUUCGUAGAUAUCAAGCGGAACACCGGUGGCGAAGGCGGCCUUCUGGACAGUGACUGACGCUGAGACGCGAAAGCGUGGGGAGCAAACAGG